AACCAGCUCCUUUAGCCUUAUAGGCUAGUCUCCAAAUCUCCUAGCUUUGCCGUCAUUCUGUUGUAUUUUUUAUGACGCCGAGUGAAGACGGGAAGACUAGGGUACCUUUUUUCCUAGGGAAUUAGGUUCCAACAAGUCCAUGAAACUCUGUCCUUAUUAGGUUUCCAGGAGUUUUUGCCUGGAGUUGCGAAUAAAGCUUAUGAGGAUUUUGCCUUUUAAGUUGGGCGUAAAAUGCCCUCUGAAAAGUAAGCUUUUUGGAAAAUUCUAAGCAACUAGAUCAGGUUUUCUACGAACUGGAAAAAUAUUCCUCUUUUUCACUUUAUGUCCUGAUUGGACUAGAGUGAAAGUGGACUUGUUUUUCUGCACCUGUUCCGUAAGGGAAAAGGUGAACUAGGCGUAGCCUUGAGGAAAACCAGGUGAGCAACUAAUUCUUUCCUAGGCUUAAGACCAGCUAAACCUCGUCAUAGUCUUGAAUUUCCUUGGAUCAGCUCGUCCUCUUUUUAGUAGAACCCACCAUUUUUCCUGGUGAGGAAAAGGUUGGGUUGAGUAUCGAGCUUGUGAGACUCUUUUAAUUUCCUUUCUUGUUAGAGGUUAGCUGAGUUGUCCAUAAAGUCUAUUUUGGGCCUACGUCCUUUUCAGUGAACUCGGCAAGAACUGGCACAACUGUUUUCUAGAAACAUAGGUGCUAGAAAGUCUUAGUGCCUUGUACUGCCAAGGGUUCCUACUGGCAGCAGUAUCUUGACUGUGCCAAAGUACCGUAAUUUCUUGUUGCUUUAUUGGCAACCAGGGAAGUAUACAUGAUGUCAUUCCUUUACUGAA
This 819-nucleotide ribosomal RNA is filed under the name Kudoa septempunctata. Its description in RNAcentral is "partial large subunit ribosomal RNA". Lineage: Eukaryota; Metazoa; Cnidaria; Myxozoa; Multivalvulida; Kudoidae. The record is from RNAcentral.